Molecule: long non-coding RNA, 2280 nt
Organism: Gadus morhua (Atlantic cod)
Lineage: Eukaryota; Metazoa; Chordata; Actinopteri; Gadiformes; Gadidae
Exons: 3
Source: RefSeq, a predicted model, not a curated record
UCUCUCUCUCUCUCUCUCUCUCUCUCUCUCUCUCUCUCUCUCUCUCUCUCGUUCGCUCUCUCUAAUCUGCUGGGAUUAACUGGUUUUGAUUGCACCUAAACGGUCACAGAAGAGACAGAAAGAGAGAGAAAAAGGAAAGAGGACUAACGGGACUCAAACUACCCACCCCGGACAGCACUGAGAGACCUACCCCUGUCCAGUCUCCAAGGACCGUUACAGGGUUGUUCAGCUCUGACCCGCGAAUUCCCGGCCAUGUCGCGCGACCAGUGUGAGUCAGUGGCGUCCAGCGUGGAGUCCAUGCUGGAGGACGCGCAGCGCGUGCAGACCCAGUGCCGCACGCGCAGCGACCAGCUCGCGCUGUCGGCGACACAGCUGCGCGUGGAGUCGGCCGCGCUGCGCCAACAGGCCGAGACGGUCCAGCUGGACAUGGCGCGGGUCCGCCGGCAGCUGGACCAGCUGAUGGACACCAAGGCGGCGUUCGACGCGAGCGAGAGGACGGCGCGCAAGCUCAGCAAGCAGCUCUGAGUUCUGCCGUUCAUAAAGGCUCGACUGUUGGUUGUGUUUAACGCCCGUCGUUGCUUGCUCGGCUCUGUUUUAGUUGCUGUUUUCGAAAUAUAGUUAAGCACUUUUUUUGUUGUUGCACUGAUUAUGGUCUUAAAGCGCAUCAGACAUUAAUGUGAAUCGAUGUGUUACUUACUUACUACUGUAGCCUACUAAUUAUUGAAACUCAGACGUGUACACCAUCCCGCCCCCUUAACCGCUGCACCACCAAGACGCCGGCUAAGAUUUGCUCGGAAGUUAUACUUGACUACAAUUCACAUGAUGUAGAAGUAUGAGUUCAUCAGUUGGACUGGAACCCUGGUCUACAGAGGUUAUCCAACAGUGCUCUCCACCGCACCACUGAGAGAAUGAUCAAUGUUCAACAAACAAUCAUCCAAUAAACAACACCCCUUAACCGCUGCACCACCAAGACGCCUGCUAGGAUUAGCUCGGAAAUUAUACUAGACUUUACAAUUCACAUGUUAUUAGAAAUAAGUUAAGGAAAGUCAAUCAGCAAGACAUGAACCAGGGUCUCUGGGCAAUUAGCCAACAGCUCUCUCCCAUUCCUCAGAGUCAGGUUAAAUGGUAUGGUUGGAGGUUACAGUUUGAAAGACAGAUCAAGGAUGAACCUCUAUGAUGGUCGUAGAUCAAGGUUUGCGAUGAUGUUGCUUCAGGACGUUGAAUAAUCUUCAAUGUCCCUUGGAUAAUAUCUGUGAAAACCUAGCGUUUACAAGAUUUCAGUCUCAUAAUUCAUUAAAGGUCAGAGGUCAACUUGUUCUUGUGAUCAUUGCAAAGCGCAGUAUAGGCUCCCUUUUAAUUAUUGGAUCAAUGUAGGGACAACCGUGUGUUCAGUAACAGUUUUUUAACGUUUUAUUAAAAAAAACAUGACAAAAACGAUACAGAAGACAUCUUUUAGAUAUUUGUUUAGUACACUUGUUGUACAGAGCAGAGGUGGUGAAUUUGGGUCAAGUUGCAUGAGGCAUUCAAGGGCCUUAACACCCAAAUGUCAAACAUGUGAGGGCCCCUCCUGGUCUGUCGUUCUUGAACCUUGACCCCGCAAUCGUAUUUGCUUCCGAAGAACAAAAUAAAAUUAUUAUUAUUAUCGUUGUUUCACCAGUAGGGGGCGAUCUUUUGUCCUUAGUCGACGCCGGGCCCGGGAUCGUGGGAGGUGUCGCGGAGUUGCGUUCAUGUCGGUGAGAAACAUCAAGAAAAAAACAUCACCAAGCAAUAAAAAAUUAAAUAUGCGUUUCAGACCAGCCUCGGAGAAGUGUCGUCCAGUGGUUCAAAGUGCUACUUAUUUGGCCCCCUUGUGGCACAAAAGGGACACGACAACAACAAAGACAACACGUAAGGAAUAUGGCUUCUUUGUGAACAUGCCUGUGAAGAUGCAGACAUUUUCCUCUUUGAUUACUGUCUUUUCUCUUCCCAUUCAACACGUCAAGUCCGUUUCAUGUGCGCAUGUCGUCGGUGAAAAACAUAAAAAGCUCUCUUCUUUGACAUCUUACAUUUACGUUUUUUCACAUAUCUACUGGAGUGCCUCACUACACAUACGUCUUCACGUGUCGUCCUGGAUAACUUCUUUUUAUUAUUUUUCAAAGGUCCUAUUCUUCAUCUGACUAUCUUCCCUCCGCUGUAAUAAUAUAUUUGAUCAGACAAACACACACACACACACACACACACACAGCACACACACACACACACACACACACACACACACACACACACACACACACACACACA